Molecule: small nuclear RNA, 192 nt
Organism: Rhinolophus ferrumequinum (greater horseshoe bat)
Lineage: Eukaryota; Metazoa; Chordata; Mammalia; Chiroptera; Rhinolophidae
Gene: U2
Rfam family: U2 spliceosomal RNA
About the family: U2 is a small nuclear RNA (snRNA) component of the spliceosome (involved in pre-mRNA splicing). Complementary binding between U2 snRNA (in an area lying towards the 5' end but 3' to hairpin I) and the branchpoint sequence (BPS) of the intron results the bulging out of an unpaired adenosine, on the BPS, which initiates a nucleophilic attack at the intronic 5' splice site, thus starting the first of two transesterification reactions that mediate splicing.
Source: Ensembl
AUCCCUUCUCUGCCUAUUAGCUAAAAUCAAAUGUGGUAUCUGUUCUUAUCAGUUAAAGCAUCUGAUGUGUUCUCCAUCUGUGUACUGGACAUUAAAUUAAUGUUUGGAAUCAGGAGAUGGAUUGCGGUGUCACUCUACCCACUCCUUGCCUCAGCUCGGAAUUGAAUUACUUUUAGGAAUGGUGCAUUCCUU